GUUAACUACAGGCACGAUGCCGUACGGCAGAUCUGUAGAGCUUGCUCUUCUGCUGUAACUGAACUUUAUGUAACAUUUUUAGAGGAAGUAAACAGCCGCAGUAGAACAUGCUGUUACGACAAACGUCCUGGAGGUGGCAGCAGAGGUCUAAGGAGUGACACAUCCUACCCGUGCACUCUGGACAAGCCUUUGGAUGUCACCACCUCUGUCUGGGCUACAAGCUAUUGGCAAGUCUUCCAGCUGAAAGUGCCAGUUGCACAGUCCCAAGGCGCUCCACAGCAUUCCCAGGUCGCCGACAGUUGACUCCAGAGACUGCUUGCUUCCAAGCCAGACUGUUGGAAACUCUGUGAUGUUCCAAGCAAGACGCCUGGAGUAAUAAGCGACAGAGGACGUAGAAUGCAGGCGUUGACUCUCAGGCAAGUAACUUGGUGCUGCACCGCUUGCCACCACCCGAGGCUUCCCUGUGCGACAGAGGAGAUGGCUGACAUGCGAGUGUGCCGUGACACGUAGACUGAUUGUUCUCAGUGUUUCAAAAUGACAUCUACAAGCCCUGUAGCAGGUUUCGGAGGCCCAGAUCCCUGGGGUACAAAAGGGAGUCGAGCUCCUUCGCUUCCUUUCCUGGACGCCUUCCUUCCCAGGAAUAAAGAGCACAG
RNAcentral lists this long non-coding RNA (653 nucleotides) under Equus caballus (horse). RNAcentral's name for it is "lncRNA (ENSECAG00000039121.3)". Lineage: Eukaryota; Metazoa; Chordata; Mammalia; Perissodactyla; Equidae. The record is from RNAcentral.